GAUGAACGCUAGCGGAAGGCCUAAUACAUGCAAGUCGAACGGGCAUAUUGAUUUCGGUUGAUAUGUUAGUGGCGCACGGGUGAGUAACGCGUACACAACCUGCCUUAUAUUGGGGGAUAGCCCUGGGAAACUGGGAGUAAUACCGCAUAAUAUUAUUGAGAGGCAUCUUUUGAUAAUUAAAGCUGAGGCGAUAUAAGAUGGGUGUGCGUCUGAUUAGGUAGUUGGUAGGGUAACGGCCUACCAAGCCGACGAUCAGUAGGGGGUGUGAGAGCAUGGCCCCCCACACGGGUACUGAGACACGGACCCGACUCCUACGGGAGGCAGCAGUAAGGAAUAUUGGACAAUGGGCGCAAGCCUGAUCCAGCCAUCCCGCGUGCAGGAUGACAGCCCUACGGGUUGUAAACUGCUUUUGUUAGGGAAGAAACCCCUGAUUUAUCGGGGGCUGACGGUACCUUUCGAAUAAGCACCGGCUAACUCCGUGCCAGCAGCCGCGGUAAAGUCUAGCA
This 506-nucleotide ribosomal RNA is filed under the name uncultured bacterium. Its description in RNAcentral is "bacterial SSU rRNA". It matches the Rfam family "Bacterial small subunit ribosomal RNA", at positions 28 to 532 of the family's 1533-position model. The record is from RNAcentral.